GAUGAACGCUGGCGGCGUGCCUAAUACAUGCAAGUCGAGCGAACAGACGAGGAGCUUGCUCCUCUGACGUUAGCGGCGGACGGGUGAGUAACACGUGGAUAACCUACCUAUAAGACUGGGAUAACUUCGGGAAACCGGAGCUAAUACCGGAUAAUAUAUUGAACCGCAUGGUUCAAUAGUGAAAGACGGUUUUGCUGUCACUUAUAGAUGGAUCCGCGCCGCAUUAGCUAGUUGGUAAGGUAACGGCUUACCAAGGCGACGAUGCGUAGCCGACCUGAGAGGGUGAUCGGCCACACUGGAACUGAGACACGGUCCAGACUCCCACGGGAGGCAGCAGUAGGGAAUCUUCCGCAAUGGGCGAAAGCCUGACGGAGCAACGCCGCGUGAGUGAUGAAGGUCUUCGGAUCGUAAAACUCUGUUAUUAGGGAAGAACAAAUGUGUAUGUAACUAUGCACGUCUUGACGGUACCUAAUCAGAAAGCCACGGCUAACUACGUG
This 497-nucleotide ribosomal RNA is filed under the name uncultured bacterium. RNAcentral's name for it is "partial 16S ribosomal RNA". It matches the Rfam family "Bacterial small subunit ribosomal RNA", at positions 28 to 507 of the family's 1533-position model. The record is from RNAcentral.